UGCGAGUGUCUUCGCCUCUG
RNAcentral lists this microRNA (20 nucleotides) under Glycine max (soybean). RNAcentral describes it as "gma-miR2109-5p". The record is from miRBase by way of RNAcentral. Lineage: Eukaryota; Viridiplantae; Streptophyta; Magnoliopsida; Fabales; Fabaceae.